UCCAUUCCUUUGUUGAAGGGCAUCUG
Molecule: non-coding RNA, 26 nt
Filed under: Rattus norvegicus (Norway rat)
Lineage: Eukaryota; Metazoa; Chordata; Mammalia; Rodentia; Muridae
Source: RNAcentral